Molecule: ribosomal RNA, 1176 nt
Filed under: Triticum aestivum (bread wheat)
Lineage: Eukaryota; Viridiplantae; Streptophyta; Magnoliopsida; Poales; Poaceae
Description: partial small subunit ribosomal RNA
Source: RNAcentral
AUGCUCAGCCCCAGAGAACUGUUGGUUACCUCUAUAUCCAAACACCUUGCUGUGUCCAAUCUCCAAGGCUGGGCAGACCUCCCAGAUGACCUGCUACACUCAAUUGUUGCUAUCUUGGGCUCCUCCGUUGACCUUCUUGCCUUUGCUGCCACCUGCCGCCCUUGGCGUGCCGCUUUCUUCUCAUACCCAUCCAAAUCUACCUUCUGCUUCUCAAACCCCCCUUUCCUCAUCCGACAAAACCCCUGCAUCCAACCUGCUAGCAAUGGUCGUGCCAAGCCACAUAGAUUAAUCUUUGUUGAUCCAUCCAACCCAAGCACCAACUAUCGCUGCCAGAUACGUGAAGAAAUUCUGCAGAGCAAAUUUUAUUUUGCUGGUUCUUCCUAUGGUCAGCUCAUCCUCUUCCAGCACAUACAUUGUCUUGUUGUUGAUGCAUUUAGUGGUGCAGAAGUUUCACCUCCAUGUCUCCCUGAGUUGAACCACGAUUUCUUUCAGUCGUACUAUUGUAGCACUCUGACUGCUCCCCUUGCAUCACCCAGCUCACGCCUCCUUGUCAGCACAAAAUCCUCCCUAUUUGACUGGCCAGUUGGAAGUGACUCUUGGUCUGAACUCAAGCUUUCCAAUGUGCAAGUACAGCAGAUUGUGGAAUUAAAUGGUCAGUUCAUUGCCAUGGAUGAUCAUAUGAAGAUCUACAUUUUGCAGUUGGCACCCCAGCUUGGCCUGCAAGAACUACCAAUAGAGUGGUGCGGCGGCAAGAUCCCAAGCAUGCAUUCGAAACCAUUUCUUGUGGUCUGUAGCGAUAUGCUUCUGAUGGUUUGCUAUUCUCUAUUAAGCUCAUUCUAUAGUUCAGGCUUCUGUACACUCCACCGCCUUGACAUGUCUACCAAUCCAGCAAAAUGGGUAGAGAUGAAGAAGCUGGACAAUUGGGCACUCUUCGUUGCAGCUGACAUUAGGACCCCACCAUUUUCCUGUGUUAACCCAGAACGGUGGGGAGGGAGAAGCAACUGCUUGUACUACACUCACCACUCUCAACCUUGGGGUGUACGAUGGUUGGGCAAUGAGCCGGAUCUUAUGAAGGAUCCAUCCGCCAGUCGGGACCUUGUGUUCGCAAGAAAUAUGUUUCGUUACCCACAGAACCUCUGGGUGUACCCCAGCAUGUUUUACUCUGCUGGGAAGUGA